RNAcentral lists this ribosomal RNA (441 nucleotides) under uncultured bacterium. Its description in RNAcentral is "bacterial SSU rRNA". It matches the Rfam family "Bacterial small subunit ribosomal RNA", at positions 958 to 1398 of the family's 1533-position model. The record is from RNAcentral.
AACGCGAAGAACCUUACCUGGGCUUGAACCGCACAGGACCAGCUCCAGAAAUGGGGCCUUCCCGCAAGGGACCUGUGUAGAGGUGCUGCAUGGCUGUCGUCAGCUCGUGCCGUGAGGUGUUGGGUUAAGUCCCGCAACGAGCGCAACCCUUACUCAUAGUUGCUACCAUUUAGUUGAGCACUCUGGUGAGACUGCCUCGGAUAACGGGGAGGAAGGCGGGGAUGACGUCAAGUCCUCAUGGCCUUUAUGUCCAGGGCUACACACGUGCUACAAUGGUCGGUACAAACCGUCGCAAACCCGCGAGGGGGAGCUAAUCGGAAAAAGCCGGCCUCAGUUCGGAUUGGAGUCUGCAACUCGACUCCAUGAAGCUGGAAUCGCUAGUAAUCGCAGAUCAGAAUGCUGCGGUGAAUACGUUCCCGGGCCUUGUACACACCGCGCAUA